GAUGAAGAACGCAGCGAAAUGCGAUAAGUAAUGUGAAUUGCAGAAUUCAGUGAAUCAUCGAAUCUUUGAACGCACAUUGCGCCCAUUAGUAUUCUAGUGGGCAUGCCUGUUCGAGCGUCAUUUCAACCCUCAAGCACUGCUUGGUGUUGGAGCUCUACGCAUUGUAGGCUCUCAAAUCGAGUGGCGGACUCGCUAUGGCUCCGAGCGCAGUAUUUUCUCUCGCUUUGGACGUCUAGUGGGUGCCUGCCAUAAAACCCCCAAAUUUAUUGUGGUUGACCUCGGAUCAGGUAGGAAUACCCGCUGAACUUAAGCAUAUCAAUAAGCGGAGGA
RNAcentral lists this unclassified non-coding RNA (330 nucleotides) under soil metagenome. RNAcentral's name for it is "partial contains 5.8S ribosomal RNA, internal transcribed spacer 2, and large subunit ribosomal RNA". The stretch from base 1 to 120 matches the Rfam family "5.8S ribosomal RNA", at positions 35 to 154 of the family's 154-position model. The record is from RNAcentral.